CAUUUUCUUGCCUCAGUUUCUUCUUCAAUUGUAACUCUUCAGCUCAAAAUUGGCCAUGAGGAGUGCUGCUAUCUCUGCAAUUCGCGCUUUCGCUUCAUCUUCUAGGAUUUCUGGCUCUCCAGCUAUCGCUAGACACUUGCAUGCCUCUGCGGGGAGCAAAAAGAUUGUGGGUGUUUUCUACAAGGCCAAUGAGUAUGCUGCAAUGAAUCCCAAUUUUUUGGGGUCUGCGGAGGGAGCUUUAGGCAUACGUGAGUGGUUGGAA
RNAcentral lists this unclassified non-coding RNA (262 nucleotides) under Hevea brasiliensis (rubber tree). The record is from RNAcentral. Lineage: Eukaryota; Viridiplantae; Streptophyta; Magnoliopsida; Malpighiales; Euphorbiaceae.